AGAAGGUCCUGGCCCACCUCCACCGGGCAGGGAAACAGCACAGAGAAACCAAGUCUCUCACCCAAGAAGACCAGCCAGAGCUGAUGCAGGCAGCCUGGCCCCGCCCGGCCACCAGACCUGAAUGGCAUGCAGCUUCCUCACCACUUCCAGCCACCCGCCUCGGCCUCCACGUCCGUGAGUGGGCUUGCAGGAGCAGCAGAGGACCUUGGGGUCUUUCCAACCCUGUCCUCUCAAUUCCCGCUGCCCUCCUUCCUGAGACGUUAGUGCACAGGGCAGCCCCUGGGAGGCCUCACCCAGCCCUAACCAGGGCCUGAGUCCGGGACCCAAUCCCUCUGGCCCAGGGCCCCUCCCUGGAGGUCACCAGGACCCAGCAUGGCACCAAGCACGCCGGGAUUUAAGUGGGUCAGUUGGGGAAGAAAGGAGGAGGAAUGCAAUGCCAUUAAUUGUGCCCCUUAUCUCCUGUUUCUAUGCCAACCAGACGUUCCCGGGGCUUGACGGGCCCGUGAAUAAUACUCCCGGCUGGCCUAUCUGCCAUCGACAGCCCUUCUCCUAGAGGCAGCUGUUGCCUCCCGAUUGGUAUCGCCAACCUGUGGACCUGGGCCUGGGCCUGCCUAGAGGCCAUCCUGGAGAACUCGGGCCCUGGGUGGACUGCUGCCUGCCCUCCAUAGCCCUGGUCUCCUGGAGGUUUCGAGGCUCCUGUCCCCAUUUCACAGAAAGGGAGACUGAGGCUACAGCUUCCUGAUGUCUCCAGAGCUCACCGGCUCUCCCCCUCAGGAGGCCUGGCCUUGUCCCCAGGGGCUGGGAGCUGGGACAGCACCUGCAGGAGGAGUCCCCUGCUGCAUGACCUUGGCACCACCCGCCCACCCCCCUGCUGGUCGCCCGUCCUUGGCUGUUUCAUUAGGAGACAGGUGAAGGUGGGGUAGGAGCUCAGCUCACACACAGGCCUGUGGACAGGGAGCCAGCUCAGCAGGGCCGGGGUCAGGCUCCUCCCUGCUCAUGCUGUGCAUGGGGUGCCCAGCCCAGUGCCUGCUGACGCCCUGUGCAUGCCUGCCCAGGCAGCCUGGCUCCAACCCUGGCUACCCCCUCGGUCCCGUGAGCUCCCUGAGGGCAGGGAUGGCACUGGCCCACCCCACGCUGCAGGCCUGCUGGGACCAGACAGUUGGCACGAAAUGGGCAGAUGUGGGCCCCUGACUGGCCCUGGGCUCAUGGGCAAGGCCUGUCACCUGAGCCUCAGCUCUCCAUCUGCAAAAGGGCAUCAACAACAGCACCCGUCCUGUGCAGUGCUCCCAUCCCCUCCUCCCACUGCUCCUCCUCCUGCUCUCCCUCCUCCCCCUCCUGCUCUCCCUCCUCCUCCUCCUGCUCUCCCUCCUCCCCCUCCUGCUCUCCCUCCUCCCCUCCUCCCCCUGCUCCUCCUCCUGCUCUCCCUCCUCCUCCUCUCCCUCCUCCCCUCCUCCCACUCCUCCUCCUCCUGCUCUCCCUCCCCCCCUCCUCCCACUGCUCCUCCUCCUGCUCUCCCUCCUCCUCCUCCUGCCCUCCCUCCUCCUCCUCCUG
This 1551-nucleotide long non-coding RNA is filed under the name Marmota monax (woodchuck). The record is from RNAcentral. Lineage: Eukaryota; Metazoa; Chordata; Mammalia; Rodentia; Sciuridae.